CGUGUAGGCUGCUGAUUGUGUCGAGUGUGAAAGCCCUCGGCUUAACCGAGGAAGUGCACUCGAAACUGGUCAGCUUGAGUACCGGAGAGGAAGGUGGAAUUCCCGGUGUAGAGGUGAAAUUCGUAGAUAUCGGGAGGAACACCAGUGGCGAAAGCGACCUUCUGGACGGAUACUGACGCUGAGACGCGAAAGCGUGGGGAGCAAACA
Molecule: ribosomal RNA, 207 nt
Filed under: uncultured delta proteobacterium
Lineage: Bacteria; Deltaproteobacteria
Description: partial 16S ribosomal RNA
Rfam family: Bacterial small subunit ribosomal RNA
Source: RNAcentral